RNAcentral lists this ribosomal RNA (492 nucleotides) under uncultured bacterium. Its description in RNAcentral is "partial 16S ribosomal RNA". It matches the Rfam family "Bacterial small subunit ribosomal RNA", at positions 29 to 507 of the family's 1533-position model. The record is from RNAcentral.
AGUGAACGCUGGCGGUAGGCCUAACACAUGCAAGUCGAACGGCAGCACAGUAAGAGCUUGCUCUUACGGGUGGCGAGUGGCGGACGGGUGAGGGAUACAUCGGAAUCUACUUUUUCGUGGGGGAUAACGUAGGGAAACUUACGCUAAUACCGCAUACGACCUACGGGUGAAAGCAGGGGAUCUUCGGACCUUGCGCGAUUGAAUGAGCCGAUGUCGGAUUAGCUAGUUGACGGGGUAAAGGCCCACCAAGGCGACGAUCCGUAGCUGGUCUGAGAGGAUGAACAGCGACACUGGAACUGAGACACGGUCCAGACUCCUACGGGAGGCAGCAGUGGGGAAUAUUGGACAAUGGGCGCAAGCCUGAUCCAGCCAUACCGCGUGGGUGAAGAAGGCCUUCGGGUUGUAAAGCCCUUUUGUUGGGAAAGAAAAGCAGCAGGUUAAUACCCCGCUGUUCUGACGGUACCCAAAGAAUAAGCACCGGCUAACUUCGUG